Molecule: non-coding RNA, 237 nt
Filed under: Blautia sp.
Lineage: Bacteria; Bacillati; Bacillota; Clostridia; Lachnospirales; Lachnospiraceae
Description: T-box sequence
Rfam family: T-box leader
About the family: Uncharged tRNA acts as the effector for transcription antitermination of genes in the T-box leader family.
Source: RNAcentral
CUAAAAACUGUGAAGAGGAUUAUUAAGAAACCCUGCGUGUCAAGAGAGCUGCCGUCUGGUGCAAGGCAGUCACGUAAGCUUCCCAACUGGCCUCGGAGUUCCCAAAUCGAACUUUCCCCAUUGGCGGAUCAGUAGAUGCGGGCGGGAUUUCCCGUUACAGAAAAAAUGAGUGCACAGAAUAAUUUAAACCUGUGAAUUAGAGUGGUACCACGGAAUUUAAGCCCUUUCGUCUCUAGC